GAGAUUUCGCAAUGCCCGAAAGGGUGACGAUGCGACGCCGCGUGGAGGAUAAAGGCCUUCGGGUUGUAAACUCCUGUCAGGGCAAAAGAAGGGGAGGGGAGGAAACUCCCUGACCUUGACUCAGCCCAAAGGAAGCCCCGGCUAACUCCGUGCCAGCAGCAGCGGUAAGACGGAGAGGGCGAGCGUUGUUCGGAAUUACUGGGCGUAAAGAGCGCGUAGGCGGGUCCGUAUGUCAGGGGUGAAAGCCCCCGGCCCAACCGGGGAAUUGCCUCUGAAACUGCGGUCCUCGAGUGGAGCAGGGGGGAGUGGAACUCUCGGUGGAGCGGUGAAAUGCGUUGAUAUCGAGGGGAACGUCGGCGGCGAAGGCGACUCCCUAUGCUUCUACUGACGCUGAGGUGCGAAAGCCAGGGGAGCGAACGGGAUUAGAUACCCCGGUAGUCCUGGCCUUAAACGGUGGGCACUAAGUAGAGGGGUUUUA
Molecule: ribosomal RNA, 478 nt
Filed under: uncultured bacterium
Lineage: Bacteria
Description: bacterial SSU rRNA
Rfam family: Bacterial small subunit ribosomal RNA
Source: RNAcentral